Molecule: ribosomal RNA, 229 nt
Filed under: uncultured bacterium
Lineage: Bacteria
Description: partial 16S ribosomal RNA
Rfam family: Bacterial small subunit ribosomal RNA
Source: RNAcentral
UAACGGCCCACCAAGGCGACGAUCCAUAGCCGGCCUGAGAGGGUGAACGGCCACAUUGGGACUGAGACACGGCCCAAACUCCUACGGGAGGCAGCAGUGGGGAAUAUUGCACAAUGGGGGAAACCCUGAUGCAGCGACGCCGCGUGAAGGAAGAAGUAUUUCGGUAUGUAAACUUCUAUCAGCAGGGAAGAAGAUGACGGUACCUGACUAAGAAGCCCCGGCUAACUAC